RNAcentral lists this ribosomal RNA (1016 nucleotides) under uncultured bacterium. RNAcentral's name for it is "bacterial SSU rRNA". It matches the Rfam family "Bacterial small subunit ribosomal RNA", at positions 357 to 1376 of the family's 1533-position model. The record is from RNAcentral.
AGGAAUAUUGGUCAAUGGGCGAGAGCCUGAACCAGCCAAGUAGCGUGAAGGAUGACUGCCCUAUGGGUUGUAAACUUCUUUUAUAAAGGAAUAAAGUCGGGUAUGCAUACCCGUUUGCAUGUACUUUAUGAAUAAGGAUCGGCUAACUCCGUGCCAGCAGCCGCGGUAAUACGGAGGAUCCGAGCGUUAUCCGGAUUUAUUGGGUUUAAAGGGAGCGUAGAUGGAUGUUUAAGUCAGUUGUGAAAGUUUGCGGCUCAACCGUAAAAUUGCAGUUGAUACUGGAUAUCUUGAGUGCAGUUGAGGCAGGCGGAAUUCGUGGUGUAGCGGUGAAAUGCUUAGAUAUCACGAAGAACUCCGAUUGCGAAGGCAGCCUGCUAAGCUGCAACUGACAUUGAGGCUCGAAAGUGUGGGUAUCAAACAGGAUUAGAUACCCUGGUAGUCCACACGGUAAACGAUGAAUACUCGCUGUUUGCGAUAUACGGCAAGCGGCCAAGCGAAAGCGUUAAGUAUUCCACCUGGGGAGUACGCCGGCAACGGUGAAACUCAAAGGAAUUGACGGGGGCCCGCACAAGCGGAGGAACAUGUGGUUUAAUUCGAUGAUACGCGAGGAACCUUACCCGGGCUUAAAUUGCAGAUGAAUUACGGUGAAAGCCGUAAGCCGCAAGGCAUCUGUGAAGGUGCUGCAUGGUUGUCGUCAGCUCGUGCCGUGAGGUGUCGGCUUAAGUGCCAUAACGAGCGCAACCCUUAUCGAUAGUUACCAUCAGGUUAUGCUGGGGACUCUGUCGAGACUGCCGUCGUAAGAUGUGAGGAAGGUGGGGAUGACGUCAAAUCAGCACGGCCCUUACGUCCGGGGCUACACACGUGUUACAAUGGGGGGUACAGAAGGCAGCUACACGGCGACGUGAUGCUAAUCCCUAAAGCCUCUCUCAGUUCGGAUUGGAGUCUGCAACCCGACUCCAUGAAGCUGGAUUCGCUAGUAAUCGCGCAUCAGCCACGGCGCGGUGAAUACGUUCCCG